This 786-nucleotide ribosomal RNA is filed under the name Stenotrophomonas maltophilia. RNAcentral's name for it is "bacterial SSU rRNA". It matches the Rfam family "Bacterial small subunit ribosomal RNA", at positions 42 to 835 of the family's 1533-position model. The record is from RNAcentral. Lineage: Bacteria; Pseudomonadati; Pseudomonadota; Gammaproteobacteria; Lysobacterales; Lysobacteraceae.
GCAAGCGUAACAUGCAGUCGGAGGGGCAAGGACAGCUUGCUCUCAGGCUGGGGAGGGGCCGCCCGUUGAUGAAUCCAUCGGGAAUCGACUUUUUCGUGGGGGAUAACGUGAGUGAAACUUACGCUAAUACCGCAUACGACCUACGGGUGAAAGCAGGGGAUCUUCCGACCUUGCGCGAUUGAAUGAGCCGAUGUCGGAUUAGCUAGUUGGCGGGGUAAAGGCCCACCAAGGCGACGAUCCGUAGCUGGUCUGAGAGGAUGAUCAGCCACACUGGAACUGAGACACGGCCCCGACUCCUACGGGAGGCAGCAGUGGGGAAUAUUGGACAAUGGGCGCAAGCCUGAUCCAGCCAUACCGCGUGGGUGAAGAAGGCCUUCGGGUUGUAAAGCCCUUUUGUUGGGAAAGAAAUCCAGCUGGCUAAUACCCGGUUGGGAUGACGGUACCCAAAGAAUAAGCACCGGCUAACUUCGUGCCGCAGCCGCGGUAAUACGAAGGGUGCAAGCGUUACUCGGAAUUACUGGGCGUAAGCGUGCGUAGGUGGUCGUUUAAGUCCGUUGUGAAAGCCCUGGGCUCAACCUGGGAACUGCAGUGGAUACUGGGCGACUAGAGUGUGGUAGAGGGUAGCGGAAUUCCUGGUGUAGCAGUGAAAUGCGUAGAGAUCAGGAGGACAUCCAUGGCGAAGGCACUACCUGGACCACACUGAACUGAGGCACGAAGCGUGGGAGCAACAGGAUUAAAACCCUGGUAUCCCGCCCUAACGAUGCAACUGGAUGUUGGUGCAUUUGG